Molecule: long non-coding RNA, 1257 nt
Filed under: Numida meleagris (helmeted guineafowl)
Lineage: Eukaryota; Metazoa; Chordata; Aves; Galliformes; Numididae
Description: lncRNA (ENSNMEG00000017180.1)
Source: RNAcentral
ACAGAUGCCAAAGGACAGGACAGUGAUUUCCCUGCUGGGGGAGUAAGGGAGAAAAACAGCUGCCUGGCCGAGGAUGCAGAACAGCAAUAAAGCUCCAUUUCCUGUCCCCAUGCUCCGGCUACUUCUGGAACCAGUGGAGUGACUUCAUGCAAGGAACCCACCAGAAUUUGAUGUUGGACACUGCCGAGAUGGUCAGUCAAGGAUUAUACAUUUUUGCUUUACUUGAGUGCUGCCUUUGUACUUCUGUUUAUUCCUUCCCUUUGAGGAUGGCUGGAGCAGACAUUCAUCCUGUAAGACACUUGCCGUAGCAAACCCUGAUGUUAGCCUAGGAUCCUGCAGCUUUCUGCAUUCAUCCCAUGCAGUGCCUUCCUCUGCAAGUAGCAGAUCUCCCCGUGCUAUGGCAGAGCAACCAUCAGCUUGCAAGGAGCUUCCAGGGGAAACCGAGCCCUUCCUGUCCAAAUCCGUGAUUCUGAAAAUGUUUCGGCUGUUACUGAGCUGUGAACGUGUCUAAAAUCCAUCAAUCUGUCUUUUGUUUCUCAAGCAGGAGGAGCUGCCGUUAUGGUGUCAAUCCGCCACAAGUUUGGUGGAGUCAUCCUUUUUUUUUUCCUUCUUUUUUGACGUGACUCAAGUGAAAAUAAGGAUACCCGCAGUCACAUCACCUCAUGGCUGGAUCUCUUUGUGCCAGCUCUGUUUUCAUCUCAAAUGAAAGCUCUGCCUGCUCACCCAAAGCUGUCUAGUUUUUCCCCGCAGGUCUGUUUGUUUUCUGAACGGUCCCUUGCUAACCUCGUGCAUGUGGGAAUUGCUACGAAAUAGAAAUAGGCUUGGACUUGUUCACAUCCACUUGCUGUUUGCAAGAUGAAAACACAUAGAAAAGCGAUUUAGAGUGACAGAACGCUUUUUAAUUUAAAAAAGAAAAGGUUUUCUGGAUGCCUAGAACUUAAUCCGAACCAUCAAACAGAGCAGAAGCGUUGUAUUUUAGACUCACUGACAUCUCCUGUGUGGCACAGUGCUGUUAAAUCCUUCGUGUGUCUGCUAGGAAUCUAAAAUUCUCCAAGCAAUUAAAGCAAAUUAAUUCAAGGCAGCAGUGCACGUCAAGCGUUUUCUAUAAAUGUUUUCCUGAUUUAGACCUCUUUCUGUACUGUAUCUAAAUUGUCAGAUGUUUCAAAGAACUAUUUUAUUUCCUUUUGUGACUUCCCCCCCGCCACAGACUUGCUGAGAAUUCUCCUCCAGCUAGAAAAGGAUACAUUUGGGCUUCCC